Molecule: long non-coding RNA, 1939 nt
Filed under: Mytilus galloprovincialis (Mediterranean mussel)
Lineage: Eukaryota; Metazoa; Mollusca; Bivalvia; Mytilida; Mytilidae
Source: RNAcentral
UCCUGUCAAAAUUUGCAUUUUCUAGUUUUUGUUUAGUUAUAGAAUACUUAUAAGAAGGCAUAAAUAUAUAAACAUCACCAUUUUUUAGGGUUUUUUUGCCAAUUUUUUUGUUGAAAUAGGAAUAAUGUGGAUUUUUUUCAGAAAUCAACUUUUAUUAAUGUUUGAAUUAGUGUUUACAUUCAACAGAUUGAAAAUAUAAUAAAUUCAAACUUAUAUGCAGUUUUUAAUUAAAAGUAAACAUGUUAUUUCCAUCAAUUUAGCAGAUAUUUUUUUUACUCAGGUAGAUUAAUCAGUGAGUGAUAGAUUUCUCUUAGAAGAAAUUUAAAGGUCCCAGUGAAUAAACUAAACAGAGGACAAAUAUUAUACCUGUUGUAUUUGUUGAAUGGGACAAAUGAACUACCAAAAGUUUAAAUGGACAAGCUAUCAGGUGAAUCUAUGGAAAGGUACAAUUGGGUUUGCAAUAAAUAAUCAAGCAUAUGAAGACUUAUUAAAGCUUAUUUCUAUAUCAUGAAAAACUUUCAAUUCUAUUAUUAACAGAGUAAUUAAUUGUUGUUUCCUUGUAGGAAUUUUGACAUUAAUAAAGACAUGAGCCAGCCCACAUAUGAAAGGAUUCCCUGAUAUUAAACAGUCAAAACAUUCAAUAAAUGUUAGACACAGGCUUAUUAUAAUGAUAAUUUAUUUAACUUGGCACAGGUUUAUGACUUUUUUUCAUACAGUUUGCAUAAGAGACAGGAAAUAUGUGGUAUGACUAAAUGUUAACAUGGACAUCAAAAACUAUAAGAAAAUAAAGAACAUAUAUUAGAAUUGUAUUCUGGUGUGAAUGUGAAAAGAAACUACAGGUAAAACGUGGCUUAGUAAGGAACUAUAUUCUAGUAAACAAAUUUUCAUUUUGAAACAAUGUUUCCCAAUUGCUAUCUCUCUCAUUUAUUAGCAAAUAAAAUAUUUUUUAAGUUUGAAUUUGUUUCAAAGCUACAAUGUAAGACUUGUUUAGAACUACAAACAAGUUGGCUGAUUAAUAUUACAUUUACGAACUGUGGUCUCAAACUACAGACAUCUUCCAAGUAUGCCAAAACCCACUAUUGUAGAUUCUAUAUUUUAGUGGGUACCAAUUUUUUGGUGGAUUGAGAAAAAAGAUUGUAUUUUUUUUUAUAUCUGAAAUCUGCAUAUAAGCCUGUCGACUUUUUUUAUUUUUACAAAACAUUGAAAAUCAUGCAUGGUCCACCUAUAACCACGAAAUCCACAUAAAUUGGUAUUCCAUGAAAAUGAAUUUACAGGAAUUAUUAAAAUGACUUCCACCUUGUAAAGUAACAGCAAACUAAAGUGUUUGUUGCUGCCUUUUUCUUGUAUACUGUUGGUGUGCAAUUUCAAUUCAAUACUUUUCCAUAGUAUAAGCAAUGCUGGGUUUUCAGUACCUUGCAUGUAAUAAGAAGGCACUUAUUUCAUAUGAUUCCAAAAUGGUGCUAUGUAUACCUUUAUUAUGACAAUUUAAUUGAUUUGGUCAGCAUAAAAUGAAUAUUCAGUACCAAUAAGUGUUUAGUCUGGGAAAGUUAUUAAUUAAAAAUAUCCAUAAAAAAAAUUGUGAUUUUUAUAACAAAUCUGAUAAAAAAUAGAUUAAAAUAUGCACAUAAUUAAAAACUUUUAUAUAAUUUACUUCCUUUGCAGAUGAAAAUGUAGUAGAAAUCUCUUUGGGACAAUAGAUAUUUUACAUGAUUUAUAAAUGAAUUUAAUGUUGAGGAUGAUUAACAGGUAGAGAAAAAAGUAUCAAAAGGAGGCUCUUAGUUAAAGGAUAUCUAAGUUGCCUGAAUUUGAUAUCAGAAUGUUCUAUCUUUCCAAUUAUGUAAUGAGAAAUAUAAAAGUUUAAAGCACUUACAAAUCAGUAUCACAGGCAGAAAAAAUACAUUUAUUUGAACACAUAAGCUUGGGGCACCAAUUCAUCAUU